AUUAGGUAGGACUACCCGCUGAACUUAAGCAUAUCAAUAAGCGGAGGAAAAGAAACCAACAGGGAUUGCCUCAGUAACGGCGAGUGAAGCGGCAAUAGCUCAAAUUUGAAAUCUGGCUCCUUUGGAGUCCGAGUUGUAAUUUGUAGAGGAUGCUUUGGUGCGGCCUUGGUCUAAGUUCUUUGGAACAGGACAUCACAGAGGGUGAGAAUCCCGUAUGUGGCUAAAGGCUUCAACCGUCAAAAGCUCCUUCAACGAGUCGAGUUGUUUGGGAAUGCAGCUCUAAAUGGGAGGUAAAUUUCUUCUAAAGCUAAAUAUUGGCCAGAGACCGAUAGCGAACAAGUAGAGUGAUCGAAAGAUGAAAAGCACUUUGGAAAGAGAGUUAAACAGUACGUGAAAUUGUUGAAAGGGAAACGAUUGAAGUCAGUCAUGCUCUUUGGUAUUUAUAUCAUUGA
This 452-nucleotide ribosomal RNA is filed under the name uncultured Chaetoceros. RNAcentral's name for it is "partial Eukaryotic large subunit ribosomal RNA". It matches the Rfam family "Eukaryotic large subunit ribosomal RNA", at positions 10 to 460 of the family's 3401-position model. Lineage: Eukaryota; Bacillariophyta; Thalassiosirophyceae; Chaetocerotales; Chaetocerotaceae. The record is from RNAcentral.